This is an RNA transcript of Aethalodelphis obliquidens (Pacific white-sided dolphin), 1250 nucleotides long. It is a transcript of the gene named structure-specific endonuclease subunit SLX1A, with no coding region annotated. The transcript is spliced from 7 exons. The record is from RefSeq and is a predicted model, not a curated record. Lineage: Eukaryota; Metazoa; Chordata; Mammalia; Artiodactyla; Delphinidae.
GCACUUCCGCCCUCUUGCAAGCCCAGUUUUCCAACAGUCUCCGGUUUCUGCACCGACCAUCAGUCAGCCAAUCAGAGUCUGCAUAAGGCCCCGGCGGACGCUAAUUGGUACCCGCAGCCUGCACAGCAGCCCGGGUUCUGCGCCCCGGUUUGGACACCCUAGCUCCAGCUAGUAGAGGGUGCACGAGCCUGCAUUGCUGUGGCCUCUAGGGUACCUUGGGAUUGCCCCCAAGCGCUUUUUCCGAGCCAAGCAUCUUGCGUCCCUGGCAACCCAGCUCUCCCCGGGGUCACAGGCCAGAGCAAUCAACCCCAAGUUCCGAUGGGCCCCACAGGGGGCGCGGCGAGGCCCGGGCGCUUCUUCGGCGUCUACCUGCUCUACUGCCUGAACCCUCGGCACCGGGGCCGCGUCUACGUAGGGUUCACGGUCAACCCUGCUCGUCGGGUGCAGCAGCACAACGGAGGCCGCAGAAAAGGCGGGGCCUGGCGGACCAGUGGACGCGGGCCCUGGGAGAUGGUGCUCAUCGUACACGGCUUCCCCUCCGCAGUGGCCGCCCUUCGGUUCGAGUGGGCCUGGCAGCAUCCGCAGGCCUCGCGCCGCUUGGCGCACGUGGGUCCGCGCCUAAGCGGUGAGGCAACCUUCGCCUUUCACCUGCGCGUGCUGGCGCACAUGCUGCGCGCGCCGCCCUGGGCGCGACUCCCACUCACCUUGCGCUGGCUGCGCGCCGACUUCCGCCAGGAACUCUGCCCGCCGCCGCCGCCUCACGUGCCGCUGGCCUUUGGGCCUCCGCCGCCCCGGGCCUCAGCCCCGAGGCGCCGGGCGGCUGACACCGAGUCCGAGCUGGAGCAUGACGCCGAGACCCGCUGCACCCUGUGCGCGCGUGUGCUCCAGGAUGAAGAAGACCCCCUGUGUUGCCCCCACCCUGGCUGCUCCCUGAGGGCCCAUGUGAUCUGCCUGGCAGAGGAGUUCCUGCAGGAGGAGCCAGGGCAGCUUCUGCCCCUAGAGGGCCAAUGCCCUGGCUGCAAGAACUCACUGCUGUGGGGAGACCUGAUCUGGCUGUGCCGGAUGGGCACCGAGGAGGAAGAGGAGGACUCGGAAUUAGAAGAGGAACACUGGACCGACAUGCUGGAGAUCUGAUCCUCAGCGUCCCCAACCUCUGCCCACUCCUUUUCUGUGCCACCCCCUGUGGGUCUGGGCAGUUUUUACUUGAGUACAAUAAAAAGUCUGAGUUAAGAGCCUUGUUCAAACCCACA